This is a long non-coding RNA of Nicrophorus vespilloides, 4923 nucleotides long. RefSeq lists it as uncharacterized. The record is from RefSeq and is a predicted model, not a curated record. The transcript has 2 exons. NCBI's taxonomy places the organism in Eukaryota, Metazoa, Arthropoda, Insecta, Coleoptera, Silphidae.
CUUCUGUAUAUUUUCUGACAUUAUUACUUUAAAUAAAUCCUCUUUCAUGAUGUUACAAUUUUUGACAUCUGCUGUCAUUUCUUCUAUCCAAACUUCAAAUCUAUUUUCUUUUAAGCUGUUUCAAUUAUUUAUUUAUUUUUGACAUUUCAUUCAUGUUUCAACUUUUGACAUUUAUAUCUGCAAAUCAAUCAUCUUUUAAGUUUACUAUUUUUUUUUGACUUUUCAUUCAUAUCACUACUUCGAAUAAAUCCCCUCUUCAAGAUGUUUCAAUUUUUGACAUUAGCUGUCAUUAACAUUUUCUAUCUCCAAUCUUCCAAGACAUUUUUCUUUAAACCUUUUUCAAUUCCCUACAUUUUUUUUGACAUUUCAUUCAUUGACUCUACUUCGAAUAAAUCCUCAUUCAAGAUGUUUCAAUUUUUGACAUUUAUAUUGUCAUUUGCUGUCAUCACCAUUUCAUCUCAUUUAAUAAAUCCUAUUUAAAGCUGUUUCAGUUAUUAUUAAUUUUUUUUUGACAUUUCAUCUCUAUUGCUUAUAUUUACAUUGACAUUUUCUGUUUCAAUAAUUUUUUUUGACAUUCAAGAUGUUUCAACUGUCAACAUUUCCUCUUAUUACCAACCUCUUAAUAAAUUCUUAUACUUCGACAUUCCUCAUUCUCCAACUGCCGUUACCAUAGCAACUACUAUCCUUUACUUUGGAAAUACCGGUCCUAUUUGUGCGCAUUACUUAUACUUAAAAUUCUAUUCUUUCAGCUCUCUUCUUAAUUACUUAUUCUCUCUUUUUAUCAUCAUCAUUUACAUUCUUAAUAUCUAGUAACCGUUUCUAGUUAGUACCAUUAUUUUAUUUUAUUCCUUUUUUUACUCUUAAGUUUCUUAAUCUUCUUUGAAUCCAACUAAAUCUGAAUAUUUUCAUCAUCAUCAUUUACAUACUUUUCUCCUCUUAAUACUCAUAAUUUUUCGAUAUGUUUCAGUUUGAAUUUGUUAAUCCUGAAAAUAUUUAGUAACCGUUUGUAUUUAGUGCCAUAUUUCUUUCUGCUUGUUUAAUUGAAUUAAAUUCAAGUUAUUGUUAAUUUUAGUGCCAUAUUUAUUGUUUUCGAUUUGAAAACCUCUGAAUCAAACUUUAACCUGAAUUGGGCGUUAUCUGACGAAAAUUUUGGACUGCUGAAUUCGUUAUAGUUUGUUUUUUUUUGAGCAAUUUAAAUCGAAGGUGUGCGGCGAGCUUAGAUAUUUCAAUGAAGAUAAUCCUAGCAAAUCGAAACGAAGCGAUUCUCUCCAAGAAAGAACAGGACGUCGACUAAUAAUGAGGUUUGGAACUUGAACUUGGAACUAAUGUUUUCUUGUAUCAUUUCUUUGUUUGCUUUAAGAGAAAAAUUGGUUCCAUUUUCUUAGUUUUUUUUUGGUACAACAUCGACAUGCAAUUAUAUAAGUUAUAAUAUAAGGUCCGCGAAGGACAGAGUGCUUAAGACUAGAUCGCACGGAUUCGAUCUCCGCCAGAUUAUCAUUGUCCAGAUAAUUUAGUCGAGAUUGAAAAUGUGGACAACAAAUUAGACAACACCUUGUACACAUAUAGAACGAGAAAACUGAGCGCGAAAUGCUCAUCAUUCGUUAGGAAUCGAAACUUUAUGUCGUCUUUAGUUAAGUAUGGAAGUAACGAAAUAUUGGCAGAUAAGCACAAUUUUUUUUUUAUAUAUUUUUUUUUUGUUGAAUCUGUUAGAAAACUUUGGUUUUUCGGUGCAAAUCUCUCGGAUAUUUCGCAAAAAAACUUAAAUCUAGUGAAAUAUGAAUAUAUAGUUUACGUCAGAUGUUAAAAGUGAACUAUCAGCAGCAGUGGAUGAAACACACCCAGUCCGUAUCACCUUCAUUAAAUCUAACUUACAAACUAACUAGGAAGCUUAAUUUCGAACGAAAACCACGAGGAUAACGAUGGUUUCCGCGUUGCGUAAUAUCAUUAAGGUAAUCUUAGGAAGCUACAUUUCGAACGGAAACCGUGAGGAUGUCGACGGUCUCCGUGCUUUAUAAUAACACAUCAUCAAUACUGGAACUAGACUAGUCGAAAGUUUCAAUUAGUCAUCUCCAUGCGUAAGGUGCAGCCAGCGAAGUGGCUGCGCGUGAUCAGUAAAAACCAAGGUAUUUACAGGUCCUUAAAAUCUAUAUUAGACUACAGAUAUUGGCAUAAUAUUAAAGAUCGUAUAUCAAAUUAAUAAACGAUAGAUCUAAACUACGUUUACUAAAACUAAUUUUUUUUUGCUUUUUUAAAUAUAUAUUUUUUUUUGAGAGAACGAAUCGGACCCUCGGGGUCUCAAAUCCGCCUCCCAUCUGUCAUUAUGACAUCCUCGAGAGGAUUGGGUGCGACCCCGCCCGCGGGGGUCGCGUAUCUUUAUUUUUAUUCAUUCCUUGCAUAAUUUUAAAGAAUCCCUUGUACGAGAUUCCUUAAAAAAGUUAAUCUGGAUUCCCGACUUGUGGGGAACCAAGAUUCUUAAUUCCUUAACCUUACUUAAGUAACCUUAACCUAACUACUUGUUGACACAACACCUCCGCUCUUUGCGGUGACGUAAAAGUAUGACUUUUUGAAAGAAAACAAAACCCACACGAUACGUGCAACAUCCACUAGGAUCCUCCCAUUAAUCAAAAAAAAAUCAAGUUACUCCCAAAAUCCAAAUUCACUUUUGUCAAACAAUCAAACAAUCUCAAGAUUGUUUGAAUUAUUAUAUUUUUUUAAAUUUAUCCCUAAAGUUGUCAAAAAUCUCAGCACAUUAAUAACUUUACCAAAAUCUACGAUAAACACAAAACGUAAUAGCCUUUGUCAAUAAAAAAAUUUCGAAACUUUCGAGGGAUUUCGAUUUUUUUUUCCAUAAAAUUUGCAAAGGCUUAAGUGAAUUGACGCUUACGAAAGAAACGUUUUGAAUCAGUUUUUUUUUUGUUAUUGAUGACAAAGUCAAUCAAUUUGGUUCCAAAAGAUGUUCGAAGGGCCUAAAUCGCUAUACAAAAAAAAACGUAGUCGAUCAAUCACUUAUUUUUAGAAUAUGCGACUUAAGUAUUGCAAAUUCAGAUUUCGAUGUUCGAAUCUCAUAUAGCUGUAUUCACUGGGAUUUUAUUAAUCGUUAAGAAAAAUGGUUGCUGUUCAAAAUAUCCGAAGUUUAUUGUAACUUUAGGGAUUUUUUUUUGAAAGAUGGUAAUUUGACAGUAAUUUGACUUUUAAUGACGUAUGCGAUGAUUUUCGUGUUGUGCACGUCGUGACGGUUGUCCUUUCAAAAAGUUCAACUUUACGUUCGACUAGCUUUGAAGUGCUUAAACGUAUCUAACUUAUAACCUAAAGCUAAAUAAGGACGAAACCGGUGCUACGGCGAAUGCGUGUUGCGAACCCGGUUCCGUUUUAUUGCUCCUAUUAUGUCUUAUUUCAUACAUUUGGUUGAUAUACCACACCGAUAUGCGACUCCGAACAAAAGUCGCAAAAUCCUGAACGUCACCUCUGCUAAACUUAAAACUAAUUUAGAAUAAACACCGUAAGAAGAACGCAUAUCAGCCUUCUUAGGCCCACUAUUCACGAACGCGCUCGGAAUAACGGGAAAAAAUUAUAGUAGUUAAAUGAAAACACUUUUCUAUACUCUACACUUACAAUUAGGUUCCAAUAAACACCUUAAAAAACUAGAUUACAACUACAUUGUUGAAUCGCCGACGAUCGUUUGGAAAUACUCAAUUGUGCGCGUGUCUGUGUACAUUAGCUAAAUUUUUUUUAUAUAUAUUAAAAACUGCCGUUGUUCUGCAGCUCACCUCAAUCCAUUGACUGAUUCCAAUUUGUUCCCAAUCACGAGAUUUCCUAAAGUUAAGAGUUUUUUUUUCGUGUAGAUCCAAACGACCGAGAGCGCUUCAAACGCUUAAAACUAGAUCUGUAACCGUUGAUAUUAUUAUGCUCCAAGGUUAAUCACGAAGAGAAACCUGGGCUUGAUAAAUUAUGAAAAUCAUAUCGAAUAACUGAAAAAAGCACUUAGAAAUCUAAAUAUGUACAUAUGACGCUGGUUUGGUUGCCUUCAUCAAUCAAUCUUCCAAUCCGUACCUGCCACAACCGACUUCCAGACAAACGUAAUUUCCAAACUAAAUCCCAUAAGAAAAUCAUAGACUUACAAUUUAUAACUAACAUCAGAAGAUUUAUGCUUUGUUUCCCAAUAAAAGGAAAGACAAAGGCUGCACCACAUUUUGAUCAAAAAAGUUCAUUUUUGUUUAACUGCUUGAUUUUAGGCUUAGGAAUUCAGCGGAUAUUGUUGAUAAUUGAUGGUUAAUUUGUAUCAUCCGAAAAAUUUGUAAACUAAUCAAAGAUGUAAUUGCAAAUGUCUUCCCCCUUGAUAAAAAAACUUCUGAUCAAUCUACAUAUUUAAACCUAUCUCACCGUUAGCCACGUGAUAUAUUUAUUACUUAAAAGCUAUAAAACGCGUCACGAUCUGCAGCUACUUUCUACGAAAACAAAAAGUUUUGUACUUUCAUUCUGAGCUUUGUACUGUCUUCAUCAUAUCUUACGAACGAUUCUAUUAUUAUUAUCAUUAUUUUAGGUGAUUUAAUAAAAAAAAAAGGAAAAACUUUCGUCUCACAUAGUUUUAGAAGAAAUCGUGAAGCGAGGUCACUAGUGAAAUAUGUUAGUUUUUCAUAUUAAUUUAGCAAUUAUUGUCUUUAUUUAAUUCAGUUCUGAUGUUUCUAUUAUUUAUUCGAUUAUUAGUGCUGAAGAAAGUCUCGGACUAACCAAUAAACCGAAUUAAUUUAGAAUAUUCAAUAGUUUAUAGUUUUUAAUUUUGGAAAUUUCAUAAUUUUGUUUUGGAGAUUUGAUUUUGACUGAUGGAAGAAAAUCAAGUGCGUCGUUGAUUAUGAAACGUCAAUUUAGACACGAGAUGUUGUUUACGCAAUUACGAAUUUUGACGACAAUGAAGAUAAAAAAAAA